RNAcentral lists this ribosomal RNA (301 nucleotides) under uncultured bacterium. Its description in RNAcentral is "partial 16S ribosomal RNA". It matches the Rfam family "Bacterial small subunit ribosomal RNA", at positions 509 to 807 of the family's 1533-position model. The record is from RNAcentral.
CAGCCGCCGCGGUAAUACGUAGGUGGCAAGCGUUGUCCGGAAUUAUUGGGCGUAAAGGGCUCGCAGGCGGUUUCUUAAGUCUGAUGUGAAAGCCCCCGGCUCAACCUUGGAACUGCCUUUGAUACUGUUUGUCUUGAGUUCGAGAGAGGUAAGUGGAACUGCGAGUGUAGAGGUGAAAUUCGUAGAUAUUCGCAGGAACACCAGUGGCGAAGGCGGCUUACUGGCUCGAAACUGACGCUGAGGCGCGAAAGCGUGGGGAGCAAACAGGAUUAGAGACCCCGGUAGUCCCUGUCUCUUAUAC